This is a small nuclear RNA of 149 nucleotides. Its record names the gene U2. It matches the Rfam family "U2 spliceosomal RNA". From Rfam's summary of the family: U2 is a small nuclear RNA (snRNA) component of the spliceosome (involved in pre-mRNA splicing). Complementary binding between U2 snRNA (in an area lying towards the 5' end but 3' to hairpin I) and the branchpoint sequence (BPS) of the intron results the bulging out of an unpaired adenosine, on the BPS, which initiates a nucleophilic attack at the intronic 5' splice site, thus starting the first of two transesterification reactions that mediate splicing. The record is from Ensembl.
AUCGCUUCUUAGCCUUUUGGCUAAGAUCAAGUGUAAUACUUUUGAAUAACCUAACAUAGCUCUUUAUCUGAUGUCCCUAAAUUAAGACAUUUUAGAAUAAAGGACAUCUUUGCAAGCAAUGUAUUACUUCUGGAUUAAAAAUAAUUCAA